UACGGAGGGGGCAAACGUUGUUCGGAAUUACUGGGCGUAAAGGGUGCGUAGGCGGUUCGAUAAGUCUAGUGUGAAAUCUCUCAGCUUACCUGAGAAACUGCGCUGGAAACUAUCGAGCUCGAGGAUGGAAGAGACAGGUGGAAUUUCUGGUGUAGCGGUGGAAUGCGUAGAUAUCAGAAAGAACACUCGUGGCGAAGGCGGCCUGCUGGUCCAUUUCUGACGCUGAGGCACGAAAGCCAGGGGAGCAAACGGG
This 253-nucleotide ribosomal RNA is filed under the name uncultured bacterium. RNAcentral's name for it is "partial 16S ribosomal RNA". It matches the Rfam family "Bacterial small subunit ribosomal RNA", at positions 524 to 776 of the family's 1533-position model. The record is from RNAcentral.